GGGUGCUGCUGGGCUUCUAAUAUCCCACCCUUUUCAUAUAAUUUAGAUUUUUAAAAUGUAUAUUUCAUAUAUUGCGUAGGUAAAAAUGUUACCUUUUCCCAUAUCGUUUUGGUGUGAUGUUGUGUGUAAUGGUCUGUAAUGUAAGAGUUGAAUACCAAAGUGCAAAAAGAGAAAAAUUUGUUGAUAAAAACAACUGGGAACACCAAGAAAGACGACAAAGAAGUUAUGGGAACUUUAUUUACCUAUUCACAUAUUUAAGAGCUCGAAAAGGUGACCUGUUCCAGCGGCAUGUUCUCCCGGGGGGUGUUACUUCCUAUAUUUUUAGUGGUAUGAGUGUGCCGCAAAACAGGGUCGCUUUUUGAUGCCCUGCUGGUUAGAACAGGGUACCCUUUUCAUGUACUGCUGGUUAGAACAGGGUCGCUUUUUUCAUGCCCUGCUGGUGAGAACAGUUUUUUUUUAAACAAAGUAUUUGUCUAGAC
This 479-nucleotide long non-coding RNA is filed under the name Mytilus galloprovincialis (Mediterranean mussel). The record is from RNAcentral. Lineage: Eukaryota; Metazoa; Mollusca; Bivalvia; Mytilida; Mytilidae.